Molecule: long non-coding RNA, 415 nt
Organism: Papaver somniferum (opium poppy)
Lineage: Eukaryota; Viridiplantae; Streptophyta; Magnoliopsida; Ranunculales; Papaveraceae
Exons: 4
Source: RefSeq, a predicted model, not a curated record
AAGUGUUUGAUUUCUCUAGCUAUCGCUGAUUAAUACAUAAAUCUCUGUUAUUGUUUUACAGCUUUCUCUUUGAUUCAUCAAAACAUCAUCCGGAGGUACAAGAUGCACGAUUGCCAGAAGAAUCAGUGUAUCACAAUGUGCAAACAACACGGGGAAGAAACGUAAUAUUUGAUAUACCCGGAAGUUCUAACAUAGGGUGCGGUGCUGCAACCAGCGACAACCCAGGAUGAGGAAACUUGGUCUUCGUUUCAGCUUAGAGGCAGAUCCUUCAAGACUACAUUUACGAUGAUUUCAGAGAAAGGCUUUGGUAUAUAGCCAAGUUGGAUUGUAUAGAUCGAUCGAUUUAUCUAUAGCUAUAUUGCAAACUAUUCGUUACUUUGGAUUUCAUUAUUUAUUUGUUUGAUGCAAAAUGCAC